GUGCUCACUUCGGCAGCACAUACACUAAAAUUGGAACAGUACAGAGAAGGCCGGCACAGCCCCUCCACCGGGAGGGCGUGCGAAUUGGGGCUUUCCAUAUUAUUUUU
RNAcentral lists this small nuclear RNA (107 nucleotides) under Catagonus wagneri (Chacoan peccary). The record is from RNAcentral. Lineage: Eukaryota; Metazoa; Chordata; Mammalia; Artiodactyla; Tayassuidae.